AAAAUGAUAGAAUCUAAAGCGAGAUGAUGUAUCAAAUAUUCUUGCUUUGUACGUUUUCAAGACAAAAUAUUCAACUCAAACACGCCCUAACAUAAAAAGGUGCACUCGAUUUUCUCUUUUCGAUACAAUUGUUACCCAUUUUUUAGAAUUUUUUCUUGAGUCACAUAAUGGAAGGGCAGACACGAAAAUUACUGAACCUAUAGAUUGAUAUG
Molecule: long non-coding RNA, 212 nt
Filed under: Mytilus galloprovincialis (Mediterranean mussel)
Lineage: Eukaryota; Metazoa; Mollusca; Bivalvia; Mytilida; Mytilidae
Source: RNAcentral